Molecule: non-coding RNA, 117 nt
Organism: Variovorax sp. WDL1
Lineage: Bacteria; Pseudomonadati; Pseudomonadota; Betaproteobacteria; Burkholderiales; Comamonadaceae
Source: Rfam
CGCGUAUUUCGCCCAGGCGGAGCUCGACCGCCACCACAAGAAGUGAACGCCUUCAUCGACGAGCACCGCGCUCGCCUCGGGGUCGAGCCGAUCUGCCGCGCGCUGCAGGUUGCCCCG